UUUUCUUGACAUGUUGUUGUGUUGUUCAGUACUGAAUGCAGUGUCCUCUGACUUUGGAACAAGCUGGUAGGAUUGAGCAAAACUCUUUCCUUUUCACAGUUUGAAGGAAAAAUGGGAUCAUAAAAGAGAAAGUUAACUACAGAGCUGUGAUUGGGCUCCUUGCACAGAAAUGUCAAGCACACCUGAAGCAAAUGACUCUGUUCCCAAGGAGAAGACGUAACACAUUGUGUUAAAGGAACCACUCUCAUCUGGUAAUAUUAAAAAUGUUCUGAACUGCUCUCCAGUCGCCCAAGAAGUCAGAUGAAGUUGUAAAAUCCCUUUCAACAACUUGGUGUGAUUUUAACCUGUCUUCAAGUCUGAGCUUGGAAAUUCUUCCUUUGAAGAGAGUUCCUUUGAACAACUAAGAGAAAUCAGCCCUCACUGUUGCUAGCAGUGCUGAAUUAUGGCUGUGCAAUGGGAAGAGUUGUGGAUCUCCCACUGUCUUCAUUUCUGAUAAAAGAGACUGCCAUCCAACAGUCAGGACUGCCAGCAUUACCAUGGAAACCCCCAAAAAUAAAGACUUUCCCAGCCUUAUGA
This 576-nucleotide long non-coding RNA is filed under the name Serinus canaria (Common canary). Its description in RNAcentral is "lncRNA (ENSSCAG00000005547.1)". The record is from RNAcentral. Lineage: Eukaryota; Metazoa; Chordata; Aves; Passeriformes; Fringillidae.